This 72-nucleotide transfer RNA is filed under the name Monodelphis domestica (gray short-tailed opossum). It matches the Rfam family "tRNA". From Rfam's summary of the family: Transfer RNA (tRNA) molecules are approximately 80 nucleotides in length. Lineage: Eukaryota; Metazoa; Chordata; Mammalia; Didelphimorphia; Didelphidae. The record is from Rfam by way of RNAcentral.
GGCAAUGUGUUGCAGUAGAAAGAGUGCUGGAUUUAGAAUUUGGGGACCUGAGUUCAAGUCUCAGCUUUGUCA